This 3958-nucleotide unclassified non-coding RNA is filed under the name Hevea brasiliensis (rubber tree). The record is from RNAcentral. Lineage: Eukaryota; Viridiplantae; Streptophyta; Magnoliopsida; Malpighiales; Euphorbiaceae.
CAACAGCAAUACUUAAAAGGGAUAUAAGAUGAGGUGGGGGAUUUGUAGUCCACCCAAUUACAAGAUUUCUUUUCCUAGCUGAAACAGCAACCCAAUCUGCACACCAAUUAGCUACUCUAUUAGUAAAAGCAAUCUUGAGGCCCUGGUCUGCUAACAGGAAAGCAGAAACAUUAUGAAUGAUAGCCUGCAAUUCCCAUGGAAUUGGAGCUGCAGGAUUCAAUCAAAUAUUACAAAUUUGUAGUGAAUCUGAUUCAAUACAACAUUGAGAAAAAACCUCUGGAAAUAGCAAAAAGAACAGCUGCUUUCAUAACCAGACCUUGUGCUUAAAGUGGAGGAGCAAAUGAAGGAGGCCAAGCAUCCAUCCAACAAAAGACCUUGUGAAUUGCGGGCAAUCACUCCAUAACCUGCUUCUGAAGGCUCAUAAUCAUAAGAUGUGGCCACAUUAAUUUUAAUACUACCAACUGGCGGGGCUUGCCAAUACGAUAUACGAUAUUUACCUUUCCACGAUAAAAAUACUCAAUGCUUAGGGAGUAUAUUUGGAAGAGAUUGACGAUAUUAUUCUGUAGUGUGUAUACAAAGUCCAACAUUGCAAGAUUACAAAAAAAUUACAAACCAGACUUUGAAGGGAAAAAUGAACUCAAAUUAAAUUACAAGGCAGGCACAGUUUCAUUUCAUCAAACUAUUAUUGAUUAGGAGAUUUACAGAAUUCACUGCAAGAGAGAAACACUCUUAUAUAUUUGAUAUUGAAGCAGGGUCAUGAGGUUGCAGGAAUAACUCAUAAAGCUACAGCGGGCGUAACCUUAAAAUCAAGAUUCCAGAGCUCAAAAGUUCCCUUGACAAAAUCAUAGUGUGCACCUUUCAGUGCCAGAGUUUUCUUCAGCAGUCCCUCUCUCACGAAUGGAUAUGUCAACAGGUUUUCCAGUGAUACAUUCACAGCUUCCUGCAUUUGUUCAGUAACAACUAUAAUUAAUUAACAGACACCAUAAGGUUGAUUAAUUAGUUCCUACAAUUUUAUUUGAAACCCAUUUAAUUAAAAAUUGAUUCCCAACUCAACUGAGGAAACUUUUGAACAGCAUAUGAUCAAAUUUAAAUUAAUUGUCCAUUAUCAAAUUAAUAGGCUUCAUCAGCCGUGUGCUAUGAGUCACAUGGCUCUUCUAGAAUCUGAUGCCAAGUUGCAUAUUGUCGGUAGCCUUCAAACAUUGAAGUUGAGGUAAAGGCAUUUUAAAAAAAGAAGAAAGAAGAAAGGGUUGAGCAUGAAGGAUAAAGGGAACCUUCUUCUUUGUCUCUUAUUUAUUUGAAGAUUUCCCUUUAACCCAAACGUGAUUAAUAUAAUAAUACAUUAUAAAUAAACAAACAAAUUCAAAAUUAAGCUGCAGCAAAUAUAACUUGCCUUCUCGCAGUUGAGGCAUUGUUCUUCAAAACUUAAGCUGCUGUAGUCUGUCUUAACCUUGGUCUUUGCGAUCGAACAGAUUUGAACCCAAUUUUCUAUAAAUUCACUAGCAGUGGUUCCAUCAUCUGGGAUAGACAUGAGCCCCUUUAUACCACCACAGCAGCUGUGGCCAAUAACCACAAUAUUCUCCACCUAACCUCUCAUUCCAAGGAAAAGAUGAUAAGAAAGCGAUCGAGUAAUAAAACUUACAGUAUUUAUCCAUUAUUUUUUGAUAUGCAGUUCAGGCAACAAAAGAGUAUUACAGCAUAUGACUACGAAUAAUCCAAGAAAUGUUCUUAUAUCUAGUAGAUAAAAAUAAACUGAAGUGGAAGACACAUGAAUCUCUCAGUUUGGUGGUUGGCUUGGGGCCAUUUGGCAAUUGGCAGUAUCAGUGAAAAAUCAUGUGGGGUAAGAAGAGUAAUGACUGGAUUUCACGUUCCUCUCCACAAUUGUCAAUAUAAAGAGCCAGCACCAUUAAAGAAUUAAUUAACCUAAUGAUGCGUUAAGAGUAAAGGUUAAUUGACUAUUCACCUUUAGAUGCAGCACUGCAUAUUCAAUGGCAGCCCCCACACCGGAGUACAUCGUCUUUUCAUAUGGAGGGACCAUGUUGGCAAUGUUGCGGACCACAAAGGCCUCUCCUGGUUGGAAAUUGAGGAUGUGAGAAGGGCAAACUCGAGAAUCUGAGCAAGCAAAUACCAUAAACUGCAUAUAUAAAACGUUAAGUUAGCUCAAUUGUGUAUGUCCCAUGAUGAUUCAUGCAUCAAAUUGAAAUAAUAGAAAGAUAAUAGCAAACAAGUCAUUAUAUGAAAACCCCACUUGAUUAGCUGGAUAAAUAACAGCUAGAAGAUGGAAACAAAUUGACAAAAAUGCUGAGAUAGCAUUGCUAUCAUAUUGAAGUGCCCAUGUAUACACACUAACCUUGGGGCUCUGGCCUUUGGCUAGUGCACCGUACAGUUUGGGAUCUUUCUCAUAUUUCUCUUUCUUGAAGUGGAUGAACCCGGUUUUCAUCCUCUCCUCCGGGUUAAACGCUGCCGUACUGCCCGCGUCUAACUCGGCCGUUAUCUGCUUUAUUUUUGCGGCGGCGACGCUCCCGAGGUCAGCUUUCUCACUGCAAACGAGGUCAGAUCAAAAAACAGAAAAAACAACAAUCAGUUAAACGCGGUGUUUAAAAGCGGGGACCCAUCUUCACGGAGCGCUGAUACAAGCCGCUCAUUCAAUGGGUCCCACGUGGUAACAUAACUACCCGAUAACGCGUCCUCAAAAUGACGACGACGACGACUCAAAAUCAUUCUCUGCUAAGGAUUUGUUUGUUUGGACGCUGAAAGGACACACACGCCACAGUACCUGAGAAGCUUGGACAGUCCUGCAAUGGCUUCCUCGUACGAAUCGUUUGCCAUGUCGUCUUCUUCCUUCUGCUGAUGAUGAUGAAUAUUCCAUACAUUAAGACACAGAGAAAGCAAAAUAAAUCAUUAAUUGUCUCCUUUUGGACUUUUCUAGCAUCACAUAUUCCAGAAGCCAUAUCAGAAAAUAGGGAAAAAGAACAAAAACGCUGCGUUUCUGAAAUAUUCCACAGUAUCAGCAGAAAUGAAGGUCAAAAACCAGAAACAAGAUUAUAAGAAAAAGAUUGGUCAAAAACCAGAAACAAUAUAAUAAGAAAAAGAUUAGUUAUGAGAGAAGUGGAAAUGAUUAAUUAUAUCCAUGAAAAGUGAGGAAGCCAAGGAUGAAGUGUGGAAGCUGAUUGAAUUAGAAAAGAGAAGAACGAAAAACGAUGCAAAAUCAGAAUCGGGAUCGGUGCAUAUAGUAGUGAGCAGUGGAAGAAGCAUAUCUGAUUACGGACCUUUUUCUCUGAGAGAAUGUGAGAUUCCGGUUGGGCUUUUUCCUUCUGUCUGUUUAGGAAGGGAUCAGCUAGGCUCCAUUUAAGGACCUCACUUAACUCACAUGCUUGUGGCUUCACAUAAAUACCGCACUUUCUCUUUGACCAACGGACCAAGUAUUCCCAUUUUCUUUCACUUGGGAAAAUUAUUGCAAUCCAUUGUUUUUUUUUUCGUAAUUAUAAGAUAUUAAUAUUAUAUUUUUAUAUUUAUUAAUAAUAUUUUAUUAUUAUUAUUUUUAUAUAUUGAGUAAAAAAAAAUUUUAAAUUCUUUUGGUAAUUUUUUUAAAAAAAUAUUUAUAAUUAGAGAUAUUAUGUUAAUGGCAUGUUUGGACCCGUUCAAUAAAGGAUGCGAAAAAUAGGGAGGAAAAAGGAAGGAAGACGACGACGGUGUUUGAAUGGCUAGCGGGAGUUUCGACGGGUAGGUCAAUGGCGAGAAGAGAACGUAUGAUGUUAACACGUGGCAGGAAGCAACGUGACCGUAAUGCGCAUCAGUUUCUGAGGAGAGUCCAAUUGAAAUGAUUACUUCCAUUGUUUCUUAAAUUCUAAUUAAAGUAAUAUACGCCUCACAAAUUCUUUAUAAAAAAGUAUCUAAUUUUAAAAUAUUUGAACAAAUUUUUUUAUUUAAGCUCUGUUUAUUUAAAAAAAUUUAAAAUAUU